CUCCCCGGCAUUGGGCAAAGAGACACCUUGUUGGUGCUGUUCUUAUAUCAGUCAGCGGCAGAGCAGAUGGCAGCCCUUUGUUCAUCCUAUCUUGAUGCCUAGCUCCGUGGCCAAAGCUGUCUUAUGCCUAAGACUCAUAA
Molecule: small nucleolar RNA, 140 nt
Organism: Acomys russatus (golden spiny mouse)
Lineage: Eukaryota; Metazoa; Chordata; Mammalia; Rodentia; Muridae
Product: small nucleolar RNA SNORA48
Exons: 1
Source: RefSeq, a predicted model, not a curated record